Pimephales promelas (fathead minnow) is the source of this 826-nucleotide long non-coding RNA. RefSeq lists it as uncharacterized. The record is from RefSeq and is a predicted model, not a curated record. NCBI's taxonomy places the organism in Eukaryota, Metazoa, Chordata, Actinopteri, Cypriniformes, Leuciscidae.
GAAAGAGGAUCACACUGCUGCUCACCACGAUGGGACUCACGCACACUUUGGGACCAACUAAAAACAUUCAAGUACUUCAUCCUAAAGGUUUCGGCCUUUUUUAUUUUUGACAGAAAACAAUGUUGUUUGUCUAGCGCCAAGUUGGAUCUAACACCACGUACAAGGUAUGGAAGAUCUGCGGAAGCCGUAAAGAUGUUUUAUCUGCUCUGUGAAUUCUAUCCUUCAUUCCACCGGAGUCUGUGUAGCUGUCCAAUCAGAUUUCAGUGGUGUGAAGUGUAGGAGACAUGGAAAGAUCUCAUCACCUUCCACAACCUGCGAAGGCCUGUCUCGUGUUAACAGGCGGGAACAGCGCAGAUACGAGACGAAACACAUGUCAAGAGUACAUGUAGCUUAAAAAAGCAUGCUUGACUAGAUUUCAGUUGUAAUAUAAUUUGCCAUGUGCUUCAUGCUUGCACGGAUUCAUGCCGGUCGUGAAAGCUGUAUGCUAAACGCUGUGAAUGUUAAACCUCAGCUGUCCUAUUAUGCACUGAACGCUUUGAAGAUCAGCAUAUCUAAACAUCUAUGUAAAGCAAUGUACCUCACCCUGCCCUUUAGCGCACCGUAGCUCCGCAAAAAAACAUGGCAUGUUUGUUCAUUUGCUGUUGUGGAGAGCCAAGGCGGGCUAAGUACACACACAUACACGAGUAAGAUUCACAAAGCCUGCCAAGAUGUAUUUAUGUAUGCUGGUUCAGCCUGUAUUCUUUCAACCCACACUAAUAAACUCACUUUACAAAAUGUGUUUGUGUGAAUUGCUUAAUCCUGACAAUAAACGUAUAUAAUAAAACAA